ACUCAAAUGAAUAGACGGGGGCCCGCACAAGCGGUGGAGUAUGUGGUUUAAUUCGAAGCAACGCGCAGAACCUUACCUACCCUUGACAUUGUACGCUAUCGCGAGAGAUCGCGAGUUCCCUUCGGGGACGUAUGAACAGGUGCUGCAUGGCUGUCGUCAGCUCGUGUCGUAAGAUGUCCGGUUAAGUCCGAUAACGAGCGCAACCCUUGUGCUUAGUUGCCAGCAUUAAGUUGGGAACUCUAAGCAGACUGCCGGUGUUAAACCGGAGGAAGGCGGGGAUGACGUCAAGUCCUCAUGGCCCUUACGGGUAGGGCUACACACGUACUACAAUGGCAGAAACAGCCCGAUGCGAAACCGCGAGGUGGAGCUGAUCGGUAAAACACUGUCUCAGUUCGGAUUGCAGUCUGCAACUCGACUGCAUGAAGCUGGAAUCGCUAGUAAUCGCUGAUCAGCAAGCAGCGGUGAAUACGUUCCCGGGCCUUGUACACACCGCCCGU
RNAcentral lists this ribosomal RNA (497 nucleotides) under uncultured bacterium. RNAcentral's name for it is "partial 16S ribosomal RNA". It matches the Rfam family "Bacterial small subunit ribosomal RNA", at positions 899 to 1397 of the family's 1533-position model. The record is from RNAcentral.